Molecule: ribosomal RNA, 481 nt
Filed under: uncultured bacterium
Lineage: Bacteria
Description: partial 16S ribosomal RNA
Rfam family: Bacterial small subunit ribosomal RNA
Source: RNAcentral
UUGAACGCUGGCGGCAUGCUUUACACAUGCAAGUCGAACGGUAACAGGCCGCAAGGUGCUGACGAGUGGCGAACGGGUGAGUAAUGCAUCGGAACGUGCCCAGUCGUGGGGGAUAACUACUCGAAAGAGUAGCUAAUACCGCAUACGAUCUAUGGAUGAAAGCGGGGGACCGUAAGGCCUCGCGCGAUUGGAGCGGCCGAUGUCAGAUUAGGUAGUUGGUGGGGUAAAGGCUCACCAAGCCAACGAUCUGUAGCUGGUCUGAGAGGACGACCAGCCACACUGGGACUGAGACACGGCCCAGACUCCUACGGGAGGCAGCAGUGGGGAAUUUUGGACAAUGGGCGCAAGCCUGAUCCAGCAAUGCCGCGUGCAGGAAGAAGGCCUUCGGGUUGUAAACUGCUUUUGUACGGAACGAAACGGCUCUGGUUAAUACCCGGGGCUAAUGACGGUACCGGAAGAAUAAGCACCGGCUAACUACGUG